Molecule: long non-coding RNA, 592 nt
Filed under: Malus domestica (apple)
Lineage: Eukaryota; Viridiplantae; Streptophyta; Magnoliopsida; Rosales; Rosaceae
Description: long non-coding RNA (MDOM_LNC013337)
Source: RNAcentral
GAGGGAGAGGUGUUGGUCUGUUUCUUUCUUCAAUCUUUCCAAGUGCCCACCUCUUGCUUUCUUUCUCCUUGUCCUUAGUUGAGGAUGAAUCAGCACGUUGUCUCCACAUGCUUCGAGGUAUCAUCUUCACUUCCCUUAUAAGUGAGAGACAAAGCGAAAACAUAAGAUGAUGAGUACUCGAGAGCAAGAGCUGGCUGGAGAAAGGACAGGGAGAAAGUAUGAUUAUGAGAUACUCGUACUCUCAACCUUUAUGAUAUGAAAUACUUGUGCUCUGGAUGGUUGUUUGCAGGGGUAUCCCAGGGGAUGAAAAAUACAGAGUGACUCGAGAGGGUUUGUUGGAAAGCCAUUUCAGAGAGGAUGAAGGGUUAAGUGAGGCUGAAAGUUGGGUGAGACUGCUUUACUUUGAAGUUCAACAUUUAUAGAAUUUUCUUAAUGGCUGGGAAGGCAUUGUUCCAUUACUCGUGUCGGCAAGCCUGGGAUAAUUUAACAGUAGUUUCCAUGUGCAUUCCGCUUCUCCAAAAAAAUUUCGACAGAUUGCGCGUGAUUUACGCAACGCAGAUGUGCAAAUUGACAGAUGCUGACACGUCUCGAU